Molecule: ribosomal RNA, 270 nt
Filed under: uncultured prokaryote
Description: partial 16S ribosomal RNA
Rfam family: Bacterial small subunit ribosomal RNA
Source: RNAcentral
UACGGGGGGGACGAGGCGUUGUUCGGAUUUACUGGGCGUAAAGGGCGCGUAGGCGGACCUUCAAGUCGGAUGUGAAACCUGUUGGCUUAACUGACAGCCUGCACCCGAUACUGUUGGCCUUGAGUACGGGAGAGGAGAGCGGAAUUCCUGGUGUAGCGGUGAAAUGCGUAGAUAUCAGGAAGAACACCGGUUGCGAAGGCGGCUCUCUGGACCGAUACUGACGCUCAAGCGCGAAGGCUUGGGGAGCAAACAGGAUUAGAUACCCCGGUA